CCUACGGGAGGCAGCAGUGGGGAAUAUUGGACAAUGGGCGAAAGCCUGAUCCAGCAAUGCCGCGUGAGUGAAGAAGGCCUUCGGGUUGUAAAGCUCUUUUACCCGGGAAGAUAAUGACCGUACCGGGAGAAUAAGCCCCGGCUAACUCCGUGCCAGCAGCCGCGGUAAUACGGAGGGGGCUAGCGUUGUUCGGAAUCACUGGGCGUAAAGCGUGCGUAGGCGGCCAUUCAAGUCAGAGGUGAAAGCCCAGGGCUCAACCCUGGAACUGCCUUUGAAACUAGGUGGCUGGAACACGGGAGAGGUGAGUGGAAUUCCGAGUGUAGAGGUGAAAUUCGUAGAUAUUCGGAAGAACACCAGUGGCGAAGGCGGCUCACUGGACCGUUGUUGACGCUGAGGCACGAAAGCGUGGGGAGCAAACAGGAUUAGAUACCCUGGUAGUCCACGCCGUAAACGAUGAUAACUAGCUGUUGGGGUCUCUUUGAGCUCCAGUGGCGCAGCUACGCAUUAAGUUAUCCGUCCGUCGGGGUAGGUACGGCCGGCGAACGGUUAAACGUACAAGAAGUUAGACGGCGUGAGACGUGCCGACGGCGACGACGAGGGAGGUAGG
RNAcentral lists this ribosomal RNA (607 nucleotides) under uncultured bacterium. RNAcentral's name for it is "bacterial SSU rRNA". The stretch from base 1 to 518 matches the Rfam family "Bacterial small subunit ribosomal RNA", at positions 338 to 873 of the family's 1533-position model. The record is from RNAcentral.